RNAcentral lists this transfer RNA (72 nucleotides) under Geotrygon violacea (violaceous quail-dove). Its description in RNAcentral is "tRNA-Tyr". It matches the Rfam family "tRNA". Rfam says of the family: Transfer RNA (tRNA) molecules are approximately 80 nucleotides in length. Their secondary structure includes four short double-helical elements and three loops (D, anti-codon, and T loops). Further hydrogen bonds mediate the characteristic L-shaped molecular structure. tRNAs have two regions of fundamental functional importance: the anti-codon, which is responsible for specific mRNA codon recognition, and the 3' end, to which the tRNAs corresponding amino acid is attached (by aminoacyl-tRNA synthetases). tRNAs cope with the degeneracy of the genetic code in two manners: having more than one tRNA (with a specific anti-codon) for a particular amino acid; and 'wobble' base-pairing, i.e. permitting non-standard base-pairing at the 3rd anti-codon position. Lineage: Eukaryota; Metazoa; Chordata; Aves; Columbiformes; Columbidae. The record is from RNAcentral.
GGUAAGAUGGCUGAGUGUUAGAAGCGUUAGGCUGUAGUCCUUUUCACAGAGGUUUAAUUCCUCUUCUUAUCG